GCCUGGGUGGCUCAGUCGGUUGAGCAUCUGACUUUGGCUCAGGUCAUGAUCUCAUAGUUUGUGGGUUCAAGCCCUGCAUCGGGCU
This 85-nucleotide transfer RNA is filed under the name Felis catus (domestic cat). It matches the Rfam family "tRNA". From Rfam's summary of the family: Transfer RNA (tRNA) molecules are approximately 80 nucleotides in length. Their secondary structure includes four short double-helical elements and three loops (D, anti-codon, and T loops). Further hydrogen bonds mediate the characteristic L-shaped molecular structure. tRNAs have two regions of fundamental functional importance: the anti-codon, which is responsible for specific mRNA codon recognition, and the 3' end, to which the tRNAs corresponding amino acid is attached (by aminoacyl-tRNA synthetases). tRNAs cope with the degeneracy of the genetic code in two manners: having more than one tRNA (with a specific anti-codon) for a particular amino acid; and 'wobble' base-pairing, i.e. permitting non-standard base-pairing at the 3rd anti-codon position. The record is from Rfam by way of RNAcentral. Lineage: Eukaryota; Metazoa; Chordata; Mammalia; Carnivora; Felidae.